This 466-nucleotide ribosomal RNA is filed under the name uncultured bacterium. RNAcentral's name for it is "partial 16S ribosomal RNA". It matches the Rfam family "Bacterial small subunit ribosomal RNA", at positions 28 to 507 of the family's 1533-position model. The record is from RNAcentral.
GACGAACGCUGGCGGCGUGCUUAACACAUGCAAGUCGAACGGAAAGGCCCUGCUUGCAGGGUACUCGAGUGGCGAACGGGUGAGUAGCACGUGGGUGAUCUGCCCCGCACUUCGGGAUAAGCUUGGGAAACUGGGUCUAAUACCGGAUAGGAACCAUCUUUAGUGUGGUGGUUGGAAAGUUUUUUCGGUGUAGGAUGAGCUCGCGGCCUAUCAGCUUGUUGGUGGGGUAAUGGCCUACCAAGGCGGCGACGGGUAGCCGGCCUGAGAGGGUGUACGGCCACAUUGGGACUGAGAUACGGCCCAGACUCCUACGGGAGGCAGCAGUGGGGAAUAUUGCACAAUGGGCGCAAGCCUGAUGCAGCGACGCCGCGUGGGGGAUGAAGGCCUUCGGGUUGUAAACUCCUUUCGCUAGGGACGAAGCUUUGUUGUGACGGUACCUAGAUAAGAAGCACCGGCUAACUACGUG